GACGAACGCUGGCGGCGUGCUUAACACAUGCAAGUCGAACGAUGAAGCCUUAGCUUGCUUUGGUGGAUUAGUGGCGAACGGGUGAGUAACACGUGAGCAACGUGCCCAGGACUCUGGAAUAACCGCGGGAAACCGUGGCUAAUACCGGAUAGGUGCCGAGGCCGCAUGGUCUUCGGUUGGAAAGUUUUUGCGGUUCUGGAUCGGCUCACGGCCUAUCAGCUUGUUGGUGGGGUAAUGGCCUACCAAGGCGACGACGGGUAGCCGGCCUGAGAGGGUGACCGGCCACACUAGGACUGAGACACGGCCCAGACUCCUACGGGAGGCAGCAGUGGGGAAUAUUGCACAAUGGGCGCAAGCCUGAUGCAGCAACGCCGCGUGGGGGAUGACGGCCUUCGGGUUGUAAACCUCUUUUAGUAGGGAAGAAGCGCAAGUGACGGUACCUGCAGAAAAAGCACCGGCUAACUACGUG
Molecule: ribosomal RNA, 469 nt
Filed under: uncultured bacterium
Lineage: Bacteria
Description: partial 16S ribosomal RNA
Rfam family: Bacterial small subunit ribosomal RNA
Source: RNAcentral